Molecule: small nuclear RNA, 168 nt
Filed under: Meriones unguiculatus (Mongolian gerbil)
Lineage: Eukaryota; Metazoa; Chordata; Mammalia; Rodentia; Muridae
Description: U1 spliceosomal RNA (ENSMUGG00000007167.1)
Rfam family: U1 spliceosomal RNA
About the family: U1 is a small nuclear RNA (snRNA) component of the spliceosome (involved in pre-mRNA splicing).
Source: RNAcentral
AGAAAUACCCAGCAGGAGAGAUACCAUGGUCACAAAGUUGAUUUACCAUGGCAAGGCUUAUUAUACAUUGCACUCAGGAUGUGCUGAGCCACUGCAAUUUCUCCAAAUGCUGGGAAAUUUAACUGUAUAAUUUGUGGUGAUAGGGGGACUGAGUUGUGCUCUCCCAGU